RNAcentral lists this ribosomal RNA (490 nucleotides) under uncultured bacterium. Its description in RNAcentral is "partial 16S ribosomal RNA". It matches the Rfam family "Bacterial small subunit ribosomal RNA", at positions 28 to 507 of the family's 1533-position model. The record is from RNAcentral.
GAUGAACGCUAGCUACAGGCUUAACACAUGCGAGUCGCGGGGCAGCAUGGGGGUUGCUUGCAAUCCCCGAUGGCGACCGGCGCACGGGUGAGUAGCGCGUAUCCAACCUGCCCUUCACCACGGGAUAACCCGGCGAAAGUCGGACUAAUACCGUAUGUUGUCCAUUGACGGCAUCCGAUUUGGACGAAAGGUUUGGCGGUGAAGGAUGGGGAUGCGUCCGAUUAGCUGGACGGCGGGGUGACGGCCCACCGUGGCGACGAUCGGUAGGGGUUCUGAGAGGAAGGUCCCCCACACUGGAACUGAGACACGGCCCAGACUCCUACGGGAGGCAGCAGUGAGGAAUAUUGGUCAAUGGGCGUAAGCCUGAACCAGCCAAGUAGCGUGCAGGAGGACGGCCCUAUGGGUUGUAAACUGCUUUUAUGCGGGGAUAAAGUGGCCCACGUGUGGGUUUUUGCAGGUACCGCAUGAAUAAGGACCGGCUAAUUCCGUG